GUGUCAGCAGCCGCGGUAAUACCGGCAGCCCGAGUGAUGCCCGAAAUUAUUGGGCCUAAAGCGUUCGUAGCUGGCCGGACAAGUCCGUUGGGAUAUCUGUCGGCUUAACGGGCAGGCGUCCAGCGGAAACUGUUCAGCUUGGGACCGGAAGACCUGAGGGGUACGUCUGGGGUAGGAGUGAAAUCCUGUAGUCCUGGACGGACCGCCGGUGGCGAAAGCGCCUCAGGAGAACGGAUCCGACAGUGAGGGACGAAAGCUAGGGUCUCGAACCGGAUUAGAAACCCGCGUAGUCC
RNAcentral lists this ribosomal RNA (293 nucleotides) under uncultured prokaryote. RNAcentral's name for it is "partial 16S ribosomal RNA". It matches the Rfam family "Archaeal small subunit ribosomal RNA", at positions 455 to 747 of the family's 1478-position model. The record is from RNAcentral.